GGGGCUAGCGUUGCUCGGAAUCACUGGGCGUAAAGGGCGCGUAGGCGGACUCUUAAGUCGGGGGUGAAAGCCCAGGGCUCAACCCUGGAAUUGCCUUCGAUACUGAGAGUCUUGAGUUCGGAAGAGGUUGGUGGAACUGCGAGUGUAGAGGUGAAAUUCGUAGAUAUUCGCAAGAACACCGGUGGCGAAGGCGGUCUGCUGGGCAGUUGCUGACGCUGAUGCGCGACAGCGUGGGGAGCAAACAGG
This 246-nucleotide ribosomal RNA is filed under the name uncultured bacterium. RNAcentral's name for it is "partial 16S ribosomal RNA". It matches the Rfam family "Bacterial small subunit ribosomal RNA", at positions 531 to 776 of the family's 1533-position model. The record is from RNAcentral.